Molecule: small nuclear RNA, 104 nt
Filed under: Fukomys damarensis (Damara mole-rat)
Lineage: Eukaryota; Metazoa; Chordata; Mammalia; Rodentia; Bathyergidae
Source: RNAcentral
ACGCUCACUUUGGCAGCACAUAUACUAAAGCUGGAAUGAUGCCAAGUUUAGCACAGUUCCUGCACAAGGAUGAUGUGGGAAUUCAUGAAGCAUUCAAACAUUUA